Mauremys reevesii (Reeves's turtle) is the source of this 1428-nucleotide non-coding RNA. NCBI's taxonomy places the organism in Eukaryota, Metazoa, Chordata, Testudines, Geoemydidae. The record is from the annotation of a RefSeq genome assembly.
CCAGGCUGCACCCGGAGACACAGUCCACAGCCCCUGUGUCUAUGCAGUGACCAGCCAGUCUCCUAAGAACUUUCCCCUCCAACACUCGGAAAAAUGAGGAUUUGGCUCCAUUUCGUUUUCAUUGCAGCAGCUCUGGGAGGCGCCCGGUCCCAGGUGCAGCUGGUGGAGUCCGGAGGGGAUGUGAAAAAGCCCGGAGACUCUCUCCGCCUCUCCUGCAAAGCCUCCGGGUUCACCUUCGGUGACUACUACAUGAGCUGGGUCCGGCAGGCUCCUGGCAAGGGCCUGGACUGGGUCGCAAGUAUAAGCUACCGGGCCGGCAGCACUGUGCAUUACGCCGACGCAGUCAAAGGCCGAUUCACCAUCUCCAGAGACAACCCCAACAACCUGCUGUAUCUGCAACUGACCGGCCUGAAGCCCGAGGACACCGCCCGGUAUCACUGUGCGAGACACACAGUGAGGGGAAGCCGGGCUGAGCUCAGAGAAAAACCUCCCGUUGCGGUCAGCAGGGAAAGUCCCAGCUGGUGAGACCCUGACACUCCCGGGACUGGAAACUGAAAAGAAGAAACAGCGAAUUCAUGUCAAGGUGCCCUGCUCUGGCCAAAUCUAGCUUCACCCAAGGCACAGGUCCAGGGGCCGGUCCCCUCGAGUGAAAAGGGCUGGACCUGCACCUUUCCCUCUGAUUUUUAAUCAAUUCUAUGUGCAAAUCAAGACUCCCAUUCUACACAGUCUUAAAAGCGCGCGGCGGGGGGGGGGGGGGGUAGUAAACAAAGCCAGUAACACUGACAGCCAGAACCAGGGACCGGGCUACCCCCAGUGAUGCUAUCGACCAUUGGAUAUUUGUUCUAUGUGCGCAAAGGUGUUAAACUGAUAUUAUUAAUCGACUCCCUGCCCUGCGCACUGUCUCACGUCUAUGGGCCUCAUCAACAACGCCCAUCCAUCCGGUGUGAGAACCUAGGGCCAUGUCACACAGCGGAUCUCUCAUCCACCCAACUCCCUCUCUCAGUGUAAUCCCAUUAACCUACCUGUAUUUAAACAGGAACCCUUCGCCCCGCCCCCCAGGUGAGGGAUUUCCAUGCAAAUUUCACCCAGGGAGGUUGGGAGUUGAACGGGGUUGUCAGCAGGUGCCCUAGGUCGAUGGGCUCACUCUAUCCAGGCCACGAAUGGGCAGCUCCUCGGUACUGGCUGUUCACAUUUUACCAGAUGAUGUUGCUGGGGAAAUCCCAUAGAUCAGACUUGCCCAAGGAAAGGGCUAAAUUCAGGAUUUAUCAGUCAGAAAUGUGUGACCUGAAUGGUCUAUGCAAGCGAAUGUUUUCAUAGCUAAUGUGAUUAUAAAGACCUGAAUGGAUCCCUCUCUCCAUUAACACUCACAUUCUCCCCGUGAUCAACACUUACCCCAGGGUUUCUCACACGGGGGUUGCGCUUGUGUAG